Molecule: ribosomal RNA, 254 nt
Filed under: uncultured bacterium
Lineage: Bacteria
Description: partial 16S ribosomal RNA
Rfam family: Bacterial small subunit ribosomal RNA
Source: RNAcentral
UACGAAGGGGGCGAGCGUUGUUCGGAAUUACUGGGCGUAAAGGGCGCGUAGGCGGUGUGUCGAGUCAGGCGUGAAAGCCCCGGGCUCAACCUGGGAACGGCGCUUGAGACUGGCACGCUCGAGUUCGGGAGAGGAUGGUGGAAUUCCCAGUGUAGAGGUGAAAUUCGUAGACAUUGGGAAGAACACCGAUGGCGAAGGCAGCCAUCUGGACCGACACUGACGCUGAGGCGCGAAAGCGUGGGGAGCAAACAGGG